This 1445-nucleotide ribosomal RNA is filed under the name uncultured organism. RNAcentral's name for it is "SSU rRNA". It matches the Rfam family "Bacterial small subunit ribosomal RNA". The record is from RNAcentral.
AGGAUGAACGCUAGCUACAGGCUUAACACAUGCAAGUCGAGGGGCAGCAUUUCAGUUUGCUUGCAAACUGGAGAUGGCGACCGGCGCACGGGUGAGUAACACGUAUCCAACCUGCCGAUAACUCGGGGAUAGCCUUUCGAAAGAAAGAUUAAUACCCGAUGGUAUAAUCAGACCGCAUGGUCUUGUUAUUAAAGAAUUUCGGUUAUCGAUGGGGAUGCGUUCCAUUAGGCAGUUGGUGAGGUAACGGCUCACCAAACCUUCGAUGGAUAGGGGUUCUGAGAGGAAGGUCCCCCACAUUGGAACUGAGACACGGUCCAAACUCCUACGGGAGGCAGCAGUGAGGAAUAUUGGUCAAUGGGCGCAGGCCUGAACCAGCCAAGUAGCGUGAAGGAUGACUGCCCUAUGGGUUGUAAACUUCUUUUAUAUGGGAAUAAAGUUUUCCACGUGUGGAAUUUUGUAUGUACCAUAUGAAUAAGGAUCGGCUAACUCCGUGCCAGCAGCCGCGGUAAUACGGAGGAUCCGAGCGUUAUCCGGAUUUAUUGGGUUUAAAGGGAGCGUAGGUGGACAGUUAAGUCAGUUGUGAAAGUUUGCGGCUCAACCGUAAAAUUGCAGUUGAUACUGGCUGUCUUGAGUACAGUAGAGGUGGGCGGAAUUCGUGGUGUAGCGGUGAAAUGCUUAGAUAUCACGAAGAACUCCGAUUGCGAAGGCAGCUCACUGGACUGCAACUGACACUGAUGCUCGAAAGUGUGGGUAUCAAACAGGAUUAGAUACCCUGGUAGUCCACACAGUAAACGAUGAAUACUCGCUGUUUGCGAUAUACAGUAAGCGGCCAAGCGAAAGCAUUAAGUAUUCCACCUGGGGAGUACGCCGGCAACGGUGAAACUCAAAGGAAUUGACGGGGGCCCGCACAAGCGGAGGAACAUGUGGUUUAAUUCGAUGAUACGCGAGGAACCUUACCCGGGCUUAAAUUGCAUUUGAAUAUAUUGGAAACAGUAUAGCCGUAAGGCAAAUGUGAAGGUGCUGCAUGGUUGUCGUCAGCUCGUGCCGUGAGGUGUCGGCUUAAGUGCCAUAACGAGCGCAACCCUUAUCUUUAGUUACUAACAGGUCAUGCUGAGGACUCUAGAGAGACUGCCGUCGUAAGAUGUGAGGAAGGUGGGGAUGACGUCAAAUCAGCACGGCCCUUACGUCCGGGGCUACACACGUGUUACAAUGGGGGAUACAGAAGGCAGCUACCUGGUGACAGGAUGCUAAUCCCAAAAGCCUCUCUCAGUUCGGAUCGAAGUCUGCAACCCGACUUCGUGAAGCUGGAUUCGCUAGUAAUCGCGCAUCAGCCAUGGCGCGGUGAAUACGUUCCCGGGCCUUGUACACACCGCCCGUCAAGCCAUGAAAGCCGGGGGUACCUGAAGUACGUAACCGCAAGGAGCGUCCUAGGGUAAAACUGGUAA